UACGUAGGGUCCGAGCGUUGUCCGGAAUUAUUGGGCGUAAAGAGCUUGUAGGCGGUUUGUCGCGUCUGCUGUGAAAUUUCGGGGCUCAACCCCGAACUUGCAGUGGGUACGGGCAGACUAGAGUGUGGUAGGGGAGACUGGAAUUCCUGGUGUAGCGGUGAAAUGCGCAGAUAUCAGGAAGAACACCCGUGGCGAAGGCGGCUCUCUGGGACGGUACUGACGCUGAGACGCGAAAGCGUGGGGAGCGAACAGG
Molecule: ribosomal RNA, 253 nt
Filed under: uncultured bacterium
Lineage: Bacteria
Description: partial 16S ribosomal RNA
Rfam family: Bacterial small subunit ribosomal RNA
Source: RNAcentral